AGGGAAAAAGUUUAAUCAGAACAGUCCUUUUACAAGGGAAAAGUAAUUCUCUA
RNAcentral lists this transfer RNA (53 nucleotides) under Rhinotergum shaoguanense. Its description in RNAcentral is "tRNA-Val". The record is from RNAcentral. Lineage: Eukaryota; Metazoa; Arthropoda; Arachnida; Trombidiformes; Diptilomiopidae.